This 460-nucleotide ribosomal RNA is filed under the name uncultured bacterium. RNAcentral's name for it is "partial 16S ribosomal RNA". It matches the Rfam family "Bacterial small subunit ribosomal RNA", at positions 338 to 795 of the family's 1533-position model. The record is from RNAcentral.
CCUACGGGAGGCAGCAGUGAGGAAUAUUGGUCAAUGGACGAGAGUCUGAACCAGCCAAGUAGCGUGAAGGAUGACUGCCCUAUGGGUUGUAAACUUCUUUUAUAUGGGAAUAAAAUGUUCCACGUGUGUGAUUUUGUAUGUACCAUAUGCUUAAGGAUCGGCUAACGCCGGCCCAGCAGCCGCGGUCAUCCGGAUGAUCCGAGCUUUAUCCGGAUUUAUUGGGUUUAAAGGUAGCGUAGGUGGAUUGUUAAGUCAGUUGUGAAGGUUUGCGGCUCAACCGUAAAAUUGCAGUUGAAACUGGCAGUCUUGAGUACAGUAGAGGUGGGCGGAAUUCGUGGUGUAGCGGUGAAAUGCUUAGAUAGCACGAAGAACUCCGAUUGCGAAGGCAGCUCACUGGACUGCAACUGACACUGAGGCUCGAAAGUGUGGGUAUCAAACAGGAUUAGAUACCCGAGUAGUC